Molecule: ribosomal RNA, 253 nt
Filed under: uncultured bacterium
Lineage: Bacteria
Description: partial 16S ribosomal RNA
Rfam family: Bacterial small subunit ribosomal RNA
Source: RNAcentral
UACGUAGGCAGCAAGCGUUGUUCGGAAUUACUGGGCGUAAAGAGUGUGUAGGCGGUGCUCCAAGUCUGGUGUGAAAUCUCCCGGCUUAACUGGGAGGGUGCAUUAGAAACUGGAAUGCUAGAGGAUGGGAGAGGUAAGCGGAAUUCCUGGUGUAGCGGUGAAAUGCGUAGAUAUCAGGAGGAACACCUGUGGUGUAGACAGCUUACUGGACCAUUUCUGACGCUGAGACACGAAAGCGUGGGGAGCAAACAGG